AACAGGAUUAGAUAACCUGGUAGUCCACGGCGGUAAACGAUGAGUUGCUAAGUGGUUAGAGGGUUUCCGCCCCUUAGUGCUGAAGUUAACGCAUUAAGCACUCCGCCUGGGGAGUACGGCCGCAAGGCUGAAACUCAAAGGAAUUGACGGGGGCCCGCACAGCGGUGGAGCAUGUGGUUUAAUUUGAAGCAACGCGAAGAACCUUACAGGUCUUGACAUCCUUUGACAACCCUAGAGAUAGGGCUUCUCCUUCGGGAGCAGAGUGACAGGUGGUGCAUGGUUGUCGUCAGCUCGUGUCGUGAGAUGUUGGGUUAAGUCCCGCAACGAGCGCAACCCUUGAUUUUAGUUGCCAUCAUUUAGUUGGGCACUCUAAGGUGACUGCCGGUGACAAACCGGAGGAAGGUGGGGAUGACGUCAAAUCAUCAUGCCCCUUAUGACCUGGGCUACACACGUGCUACAAUGGACGGUACAAAGAGCUGCAAGACCGCGAGGUGGAGCUAAUUUCAUAAAACCGUUCUCAGUUCGGAUUGUAGGCUGCAACUUGCCUACAUGAAGCCGGAAUCGCUUGUAAUCGCGGAUCAGCAUGCCGCGGUGAAUACGUUCCCGGGCCUUGUACACACCGCCCGUCACACCACGAGAGUUUGUAACACCCGAAGUCGGUCGGGUAACCGUUUGGAGCCAGCCGCCUA
RNAcentral lists this ribosomal RNA (689 nucleotides) under Bacillus sp. BV3D. RNAcentral describes it as "bacterial SSU rRNA". It matches the Rfam family "Bacterial small subunit ribosomal RNA", at positions 771 to 1459 of the family's 1533-position model. The record is from RNAcentral. Lineage: Bacteria; Bacillati; Bacillota; Bacilli; Caryophanales; Bacillaceae.